CGCCGCCGAAAUGCAGGGGCGGUCGCCUCGCGGCAACCAUUACGCAGUAGUAACACCUCGUAACUGGGACGCGGAGCGGCCACGCCUAACCAACUCGUUUCCUUCUCAGAGUUGACCUCGGAUCAGGUAGGGAUACCCGCUGAACUUAAGCAUAUCAAUAAGCGGAGGAAAAGAAACCAACAGGGAUUGCCUCAGUAACGGCGAGUGAAGCGGCAACAGCUCAAAUUUGAAAUCUGGCCCCCCGGGUCCGAGUUGUAAUUUGUAGAGGAUGCUUCUGGCGCGGUGCCUUCCGAGUUCCCUGGAACGGGACGCCAUAGAGGGUGAGAGCCCCGUCUGGUUGGACGCCUAGCCUCUGUGAAGCUCCUUCGACGAGUCGAGUAGUUUGGGAAUGCUGCUCUAAAUGGGAGGUAUAUGUCUUCUAAAGCUAAAUACCGGCCAGAGACCGAUAGCGCACAAGUAGAGUGAUCGAAAGAUGAAAAGCACUUUGAAAAGAGGGUUAAAUAGUAUGUGAAAUUGUUGAAAGGGAAGCGCUCAUGACCAGACUUGGGCCUGGCGGAUCAUCCGGCGUUCUCGCCGGUGCACUUCGCCGGUCCAGGCCAGCAUCAGUUCGCCUCGGGGGACAAAGGCUUCGGGAACGUGGCUCCUCCGGGAGUGUUAUAGCCCGUUGCUGC
This 671-nucleotide ribosomal RNA is filed under the name Hypocreaceae sp. RNAcentral describes it as "eukaryotic LSU rRNA". The stretch from base 113 to 671 matches the Rfam family "Eukaryotic large subunit ribosomal RNA", at positions 1 to 570 of the family's 3401-position model. The record is from RNAcentral. Lineage: Eukaryota; Fungi; Ascomycota; Sordariomycetes; Hypocreales; Hypocreaceae.